AGAUUGAACGCUGGCGGCAUGCCUUACACAUGCAAGUCGAACGGUAGAGUAGCAAUACUUGAGAGUGGCGAACGGGUGAGUAAUAUAUCGGAACGUGCCCAGUCGUGGGGGAUAACGUAGAGAAAUUUACGCUAAUACCGCAUACGAUCUAAGGAUGAAAGCGGGGGACUCGCAAGAGCCUCGCGCGAUUGGAGCGGCUGAUAUCAGAUUAGGUUGUUGGUGAGGUAAAAGCUCACCAAGCCGACGAUCUGUAGCUGGUUUGAGAGAACGACCAGCCACACUGGGACUGAGACACGGCCCAGACUCCUACGGGAGGCAGCAGUGGGGAAUUUUGGACAAUGGGCGAAAGCCUGAUCCAGCAAUGCCGCGUGUGGGAAGAAGGCCUUCGGGUUGUAAACCACUUUUGUACGGAACGAAAAGGUCUGCCUUAAUACGGUGGGCCCAUGACGGUACCGUAAGAAUAAGCACCGACUAACUACGUGCCAGCAGCCGCGGUAAUACGUACGGUGCGAGCGUUAAUCGGAAUUACUGGGCGUAAAGCGUGCGCAGGCGGUUAUAUAAGACAGUUGUGAAAUCCCCGGGCUCAACCUGGGAAUUGCAUCUGUGACUGUAUAGCUAGAGUACGGUAGAGGGGGAUGGAAUUCCGCGUGUAGCAGUGAAAUGCAUAUAUAUGCGGAGGAACACCGAUGGCGAAGGCACUCCCCUGGACCUGUACUGACGCUCAUGCACGAAAGCGUGGGAGCAAACAUGAUUACAUACCCUGGCAGUCCACGCCCUAAACGAUGUCAACUGAUGUUGGUGCAGUAUUACUCAGUAACGAAGCUUACGCGUGAAGAUCGACCGCCUGGGGAGACGGCAGCAAGUGAAACUCAUAGGAAUUGACCGGCACCCGCA
RNAcentral lists this ribosomal RNA (894 nucleotides) under uncultured beta proteobacterium. RNAcentral describes it as "bacterial SSU rRNA". It matches the Rfam family "Bacterial small subunit ribosomal RNA", at positions 26 to 925 of the family's 1533-position model. Lineage: Bacteria; Pseudomonadati; Pseudomonadota; Betaproteobacteria. The record is from RNAcentral.